Molecule: long non-coding RNA, 5820 nt
Filed under: Olea europaea (common olive)
Lineage: Eukaryota; Viridiplantae; Streptophyta; Magnoliopsida; Lamiales; Oleaceae
Description: long non-coding RNA (OEUR_LNC015324)
Source: RNAcentral
UCGAUUGGAUUUUAUUUUGUUUUCUUCUGAUCGUAAAAUCUACUGUUUAUUAAUGUAUAAUGAAAACUUAAAAAAUUGAAAGUAUGUUAAUCAAUUUUUUAAUAAAUGGGCCCUACUUGGCCUAAUUCUGCAUUUUGUAUUUUGCACAUGUUUGAUGGGCAUUUCUUCAAUUUUUAUCAAGGUCUAAUAAAAUCUAAUUUAAAUCUCCAAUAAUCAAACAAGCUAAUCCGGUGACUUGUUCUGAUCGGAUCUAUAAACUAUGAGCUUAUAUAUGACUGGGUCGAUCCCAGCGUAUGGGCUUGAACCUAUCCGUUUAGAGUUAUGUAUUGCAAAAUAUUUGAGUCAAACUUGGUAUGAACCAUGCUAGACGAACCGCGCGGUUGACAUAAUACACACAUAGGAGGGGGAAAAUAUUUUUUUACUCACGCGAGACCCACGCCUUGGUUGUGAGUGUGCGGUCAUCCAUGGGGUCACCGUUGCGGGUCGUUUAGCAUUUUUCAACUUGGUAUUGCUGAACAAUUGCUAAAGAGAAUCAUCUUCAAUGUUUUCUCAAUCAGGAUCUAUAGUCCAUUGAUUCUCCCAGCGGAGGACAAAACUGCUUCAACAUUUUAAUUGGAUGUUGAAUGGAAAGCUGGGUCGGUGUCAAAUGCCGGUGGGUGCUUCUUAAUUUGAGGUUUAUGUUAGGGAGAAAACGCGUGGGUCGACUUUGGCUAACAAGUAAUGAAAUUGAGAAAAUACAGCUAAAAAUGGACACAAGUAUUUACGUGGUUCACCCAAUUUUGGCUACGUCCACGGGCAAGUAUAGGAGGAUUUUACUGUAAUAGGAGAAUUACAACAACUCUCUAAAUACAAGGAGAUAACAACAAUUAAUCUCUCUUGUAAUAGAAAAACCAAGUAGGAAAUACUUUAGGAAGAAACAAUAAUUUUUCUCUCUAUUUUUAUCUCUCUACUCACAAUUUUCUCUCCACUUAAUCUUUUCUUUUCUCUCUAUUUUUUCCUCUCUUUUCUGGCUUAUUUCACUUGGCAUGGUGGUUCUCUAUUUAUAGAGAAAAUUUGGCUGCAACCGUCUCAAACUGUUUGGCCCAAAAACUCCCAACAAGGUGGUGAUGCAAGAGGAUGGUAGGUUGCAUGUUGGAGAUUUGUUGGGCAAUUAAUAGCCAUGCAUGUGGGAGUCUUAAUCCCGAAGAAAGCGGCUGAAAAUUCCACCACCUGUUGUAUUAAAUGCUUGCAGGAAAAUGUCAUUUUUUUAGUCAACAUUAGUGGCUUUAAUUUUCAACAUUUCUCCCACUUAAAGUCACUUUUGUUGACUACUUCAAUCCUUCCCAUACUUGCCAUUUCCAUGCCAUUACGUUUUUGCUAGGCCGAUAGAGGAUCGACACCAUAUGAACUUAUCAGUACAGAUUGGCUUUGUCAACAUAUCUGCUAGAUUGUCCAUUGUAUGGAUUUUCUGUAUAUCCACACUUCCUUCUUCCAACUUUUCUUGAACAAAGUGAUACUGGACUCGAAUAUGUUUUGUCCUCUGAUGAAAUGCUGGAUCCUUUGCCAAAUGCAAAGCGCUCUGACUAUCACAAAAUAGAGCAAUCUUCUCUUGUUUGUGUUCGAGUUCCUCCAUUAACAUUUGUAACCAGAUUGCCUCUUUGCUGGCUUGUGUAGUUGCCACGUAUUCUGCCUCCGUUGUAGAAGUAGCCACGAUAGAUUGUAGUUUCGAAACUCAGCUUACAGCUCCUCCAGCAAGAGUAAACACAUAUCCUAUGGUGGACUUGCUUUUGUCAAGAUCACCUGCAUAAUCUGAAUCAACAUAGCCUUUGACAACAAAAUCUGAUCCUCCAUAACAUAAUGUAGCAUUUGAGGUACCUUUGACAUAUCUCAGGAUCCUCUUUACAGUACUCCAAUGCUCUUUACCAGGAUUUGCCAUGUAUCGACUAACCACUCCCAUUGCUUGUGCAAUGUCUGGUCUUGUACAGAUCAUAGCAAACAUCAGGCUACCCACUGCUGAUGCAUACGGUACUCGAGACAUCUCCACUUUCUCUGCUUCAUUGCUAGGACUCAUACUUGAGGAUAACUUGAAAUUAAUAGGAAGAGGGGUAGAGAUUGGCUUACAAUCUUGCAUAUUGAAGCGACGCAAGAUUUUCUUCAAGUAGUUCUUCUGAUUAAGCCAAAUCUUCCUAUUAUUUCUGUCUCGGUAAAUUUGCAUCCCUAGAAUCUUGUUUGUUGGUCCCAAGUCCUUCAUUUCAAACUCCCUAGCCAACUGUGCCUUCAAAUUUUCAAUACGAUCUUUGUUGGGGCCUGCUACCAACAUGUCAUCAACAUACAACAACGGAAUAAUGAAAUCAUUAUCACCAAAUCUCAUGUAAUAUGCACACGGAUCUGAACUAAGUCUGUUGUAUCUAAGGCUCAUGAUAAAUGAAUCAAAUCUCUUAUACCAACACCUUGGCGCCUGUUUGAGACCGUAUAGAGAUUUGUUCAACCUGCAAACCAAGUUCUCUUUUCCUUUUUCUUCAAAACCUUCUGGUUGGAGCAUAUAAAUCUCUUCUUCAAGUUCUCCAUGAAGAAAUGCAGUUUUCACAUCUAACUGCUCUAGGUGUAGGUCAAAUGUAGCACACAUCCCCAAGACUACUCGAAUUGUUGUAAGUCGAACCACAUAAGAAAAUAUUUCAUUGAAAUCUAUACCUUCUUUCUGAGCAUACCCCUUCACCACCAGUCUUGCACGAUACCGCUCCACUUGGUCAUUGCCAUCUCGUUUUAUCUUAUAGACCCAUUUAUUCCCAAUGGCCUUCCUUCCAUGUGGUAGUGGAACAAGAUUCCAUGUCUUGUUCUUAUGAAGAGAUUCAAUUUCUUCUUGCAUUGCAGCCAUUCACAGAGAAACUUCUAGGCUAUUUAUAGCCUCAUGGAAAGUUGAUGGCUCUCCAUCUUCUGUCAGUAAGCAGUAUGCAACAUUGCCCUCCAUAAUGUAUUCUGAGUGCCAAGCCGGUUCUCUUCUCUCCCGAGUUGAUCGUCGAACAUCUGGAGUACUAGAUUCAGCUUGUUCUUCGUGCUCUAGUGUUGCUUCAGAAGAAUCUAUAUCUUCUCGUUCGUUUCCAACUUCGAUUGUAGUAGUCUCUGGUUUUUCUUUUGAAGUGCUAUCAUUUCCUUUUUCCUGUAUUUUGCCUUCCGCAAAUAUGACAUCUCUGCUGAUUAUCACCUUGUGGGCAGUGGGAUCCCACAAUCGAUACCCCUUGACUCCAUCAGCAUACCCUAAGAAAAUACAUUUUCUGGAUUUUGGAUCCAGCUUUGAUGUCUCUUGGGUGUUGUACAUAACGUACACAUGACUUCCAAAUAUAUGUAAGCGAGAAUAAUCAGCCGGUUUAUUAGUCCACAUUUCUAUCGGCGUCUUCAAAUCAAUUGCAGUUGAUGGUGACCGAUUGAUCACAUAACAAGCGGUUUUGACUGCUUCUGCCUAAAAUGACUUGGGUAAAUUUGCAGUUCUCAACAUUGCUCUUGUUCUUUCUAACAAUGUUCUGUUCAUCCGCUCUGCCACUCCAUUUUGCUGUGGAGUGUAUGCCACCGUGAACUGCCUCUUGAUACCUUCUUGUUGACAGAAGUUAUCAAAUUCAUCACCAGUAUAUUCUCCUCCAUUGUCAGUCCUCAGACACUUGAUCUUCUUUUCAGAUUCAAGCUCCACACGCGCUUUGAAUAUUUUGAAGACUGCAAACACGUCUGCCUUCCUCUUGAUUGGAUACACCCAACAUCUCCUGGAGUAAUCAUCAAUAAAAGAUACAAAGUAUCUUGCACCUCCUAGGGANNNNNNNNNNNNNNNNNNNNNNNNNNNNNNNNNNNNNNNNNNNNNNNNNNNNNNNNNNNNNNNNNNNNNNNNNNNNNNNNNNNNNNNNNNNNNNNNNNNNNNNNNNNNNNNNNNNNNNNNNNNNNNNNNNNNNNNNNNNNNNNNNNNNNNNNNNNNNNNNNNNNNNNNNNNNNNNNNNNNNNNNNNNNNNNNNNNNNNNNNNNNNNNNNNNNNNNNNNNNNNNNNNUGAUGCCACAUCAUCAUUAAUUCUUCUGCUGAACCUGUCGAUGCGACAGAUGCUUCUCCUUCUUGUAGUGUUUCUCCUUUAAGCAUGUACAAAUUUGCAGCUAUCUUUUCCGCUUUCAUCACCACAAGCGCGCCUUUGAUUAUUUUCAUAAUCCCAUCUUGUAUAUGGGUUUUGCAGCUAAUGCUAUCUAAUUGUCCUAAAGACAAUAGAUUUUUCUUCAAGCCUUUUACGUGCCGUACCUACUGGAUAGUGCGAAUUGUACCAUCAUACAUUUUCAAUUUGAUGGUACCAAUACCAGCGAUCUCCAAGGCAUGAUCAUUUCUCAUAAACACGGAUCCUCCUGGAAUAGUCUCAUAUUGAUGGAACCAUUCCCUCAUUGGUGUCAUGUGCCAUGUAGCUCCUGAAUCCAUAAGCCAAACAUCAGAAAAUUUCUUUCUGCCUUCAACAACUGUUGUUGCCUCGCUGUAUAAAAUUUCACCAUCAUCUGAGGUGCUGGCUACACAUCCCUGAACUUUUGACGUCUCAGGACCUUUUCCUUUGGCUUCUUCAUUCUUCUUGAGACUCCAACAAUCCCUUUUUAAAUGCCCUUUCUUGCCACAGUAAUGACACUUGACAUUUUUCUUACUCCUGGAUUUUGAUCUACUCUGAUUAUGACUCCCACUAGAGCCACGUUCCGUUGAUCUCCCUCUCAUCAUCGUUAAAGCUUCUGCCUGAUGCAAACUUGUCGAUCUAUCCUCCUUGUUUUUUCGUCGACUUUCUUCUUCAAGAACAGCAGCUGCAACAUCAUCGAAGACCAGAGUUUCAAUGUUGUUGGUUAAGUUGAUGAUGAGUUGAUCGUAGGAAUCUGGCAGACUUUGAAGUAAGAUUUCAGCACGUUCACCCACCUCUAUAUUAUGCUCCAUUGAUGUGAGCUGUGAAAAUAAAGUGUUGAGGGUGUUGAUGUGGUUGGUCACCGUAGUUGACUCCAUCAUCCGAAGGGUGUAAAGAUUCCUCUUCAAGAAGAUUUUGUUGUGUAACGAUUUGGUCUCGUACAACUUUGUCAGCAUAUCCCAUAUUUCUUUCCCCGUCUUUUUCUCUACCACACUUGACAAUACUCCAUCAGCUAGUGCAAGGUGCAGAUUAGCAACUGCGUUGCUAUCCAUCUCGUUCCACUUAGCAUCGUCAGUGAUCUCCACGGGCCUCUGUCCAAUUGUCGCCAAGCAGUUAUCUUUUCUCAAAAUUGCUUUUAUUCUCAUUUUCCAUAAUGAGAAAUUGUUCCCAUUGAACUUUUCAACCUCAUACUUUGUUGCCAUUUUUUUUUUCACCAAUACUAUGAUUUAACAACGACCCUACACAGAACUUUGCUCUGAUACCACUGUUAGGGAGAAAACGCGUGGGUCGACUUUGGCUAACAAGUAAUGAAAUUGAGAAAACACAGCUAAAAUGGACACAAGUAUUUACGUGGUUCACCCAAUUUUGGCUACGUCCACGGGCAAGUAUAGGAGGAUUUUACUGUAAUAGGAGAAUUACAACAACUCUCUAAAUACAAGGAGAUAACAACAAUUAAUCUCUCUUGUAAUAGAAAAACCAAGUAGGAAAUACUUUAGGAAGAAACAAUAAUUUUUCUCUCUAUUUUUAUCUCUCUACUCACAAUUUUCUCUCCACUUAAUCUUUUCUUUUCUCUCUAUUUUUUCCUCUCUUUUCUGGCUUAUUUCACUUGGCAUGGUGGUUCUCUAUUUAUAGAGAAAAUUUGGCUGCAACCGUCUCAAACUGUUUGGCCCAAAAACUCCCAACAAGGUGGUGAUGCAAGAGGAUGGUAGGUUGCAUGUUGGAG